GUUUUUGUGUCAGCAGCACAUAUACCAAAAUUGUAACAAUAAGAGAUGAUUAGCACGGCCCCUGUGCAAGAAUGAUAUGCAUAUUUGUGAAAAAAAUUUUUUU
Small nuclear RNA from Vombatus ursinus (common wombat), 103 nucleotides. NCBI's taxonomy places the organism in Eukaryota, Metazoa, Chordata, Mammalia, Diprotodontia, Vombatidae. The record is from Ensembl.